Molecule: long non-coding RNA, 1200 nt
Filed under: Mus musculus (house mouse)
Lineage: Eukaryota; Metazoa; Chordata; Mammalia; Rodentia; Muridae
Description: predicted gene 12853 (Gm12853)
Source: RNAcentral
AGACACCGACUGCGGUGAAGUGAGAAGCUGCAGUCUAAUGAAAAGAUGACCAGAAGGCUUCCUCGUAUGUUCUCGGCUCAGCUGCAGCCUCGUUCCUCACCUGGUUCUCCAGUCUCUCACCAUCAUAAAGCCCGCCUUCCUCUCCUGACUACUCAGUCUUCCAGCCUUCAGCCUGCUCUCCAGCAAGACCCACCCCUCUCCGUCUUCUGCCCUACCUCUUUCCCUCCCCUGGCAGCCCCUUCCUACUAUCCCACCUUAAGGAUCUCCAUGCCCAGCACCUCCAGACAUUCAGAGAAGCGCACCGUGCAUCUCCCUCCCCUCUCCUGCUACUCCUCCAUCCUUGUCCCUACUCCCCCCAACAGCCCUGUUGAAUAGUUACCUUCUCUCUAGUCCCCACCUUCAGCCCUCCCACCCACCCUCAGCCAUACCAGGUGAGCCACCAAUCUCAUCGUGGGGAAAGGUUCCCCUACUGCUACCAGCAUUCAGAAGUUCCAGUGCCGUGGGCACCUGGAAACUUGACCUUACAAGGACUGCAGAACCAUGGAGCCAAUACUGAGUGCCUCUCCGUUGACGUCCGUGCUGCCUGGGUCUCGGCAGCUGAUCCUAACUGAGCAGGAAUCCAGAGAGUUCUAGAGAAGUCAGCCCCCUAAGGACACCAGUAUUUCUCGGUUCACAGGGGUGGCCUGGAAGGACCCAGAGUAAAGCCCUAGCUCUUGGGUGGAAAGAAUACACGUGGACAUGUUGCGUCCUUCACCUUCCUAGACAGCUGUGGCAAGCUCACCGCACGCGACAGGAAGGACCAGUGUGGCUGGCCCAGCCAGCCCAGCUUGCUUCAGACUCCUUUGGAACCUGCAGAUAAUAGACUGUGUUUGUCCAAGUUGCAGGAGGACUGAAGCACUUCGUGCCUUCUCAUUAUAAACUUGGGAACAAUGUCAUCAGGUGACCCUGGUGACAACCCAAGACAUUAUACUCUCCAGAACAUUAGAUACAGGUACUGUGGACCCGUAAGAUGUAUCCCAGCCCAAAUGAUGCUUGGGAGCAGAAUCGGCUGGAGGGUCAUCGACAUGAGUGGAAAACCCUCACCUCAUUCAGGAAGAGGACCCCCAACUUCAAUAUGAGAACAUGGGAAGCCACGCGGAGGGGGCAUCUCCGCAUGUCUCCUUAUAUUUGCUUAAAAUAUAUUGAUUACAUUUAUUGCAA